Molecule: ribosomal RNA, 497 nt
Filed under: uncultured bacterium
Lineage: Bacteria
Description: partial 16S ribosomal RNA
Rfam family: Bacterial small subunit ribosomal RNA
Source: RNAcentral
GAUGAACGCUGGCGGCGUGCCUAAUACAUGCAAGUCGAGCGAACAGACGAGGAGCUUGCUCCUCUGACGUUAGCGGCGGACGGGUGAGUAACACGUGGAUAACCUACCUAUAAGACUGGGAUAACUUCGGGAAACCGGAGCUAAUACCGGAUAAUAUAUUGAACCGCAUGGUUCAAUAGUGAAAGACGGUUUUGCUGUCACUUAUAGAUGGAUCCGCGCCGCAUUAGCUAGUUGGUAAGGUAACGGCUUACCAAGGCAACGAUGCGUAGCCGACCCGAGAGGGUGAUCGGCCACACUGGAACUGAGACACGGUCCAGACUUCUACGGGAGGCAGCAGUAGGGAAUCUUCCGCAAUGGGCGAAAGCCUGACGGAGCAACGCCGCGUGAGUGAUGAAGGUCUUCGGAUCGUAAAACUCUGUUAUUAGGGAAGAACAAAUGUGUAAGUAACUAUGCACGUCCUGACGGUACCUAAUCAGAAAGCCACGGCUAACUACGUG